CCUGAUCCAGCCAUGCCGCGUGCGUGAAGAAGGCCUUCUGGUUGUAAAGCUGCUUUUGCCAGGAGAAUAAAAGCCCAUGCGUGGGAAAUUGAAGGUACCUGGUGAAUAAG
RNAcentral lists this ribosomal RNA (110 nucleotides) under uncultured bacterium. RNAcentral's name for it is "partial 16S ribosomal RNA". The record is from RNAcentral.